This 977-nucleotide ribosomal RNA is filed under the name Escherichia coli. RNAcentral describes it as "partial 23S ribosomal RNA". It matches the Rfam family "Bacterial large subunit ribosomal RNA", at positions 1 to 1013 of the family's 2925-position model. The record is from RNAcentral. Lineage: Bacteria; Pseudomonadati; Pseudomonadota; Gammaproteobacteria; Enterobacterales; Enterobacteriaceae.
UUGUGAGGUUAAGCGACUAAGCGUACACGGUGGAUGCCCUGGCAGUCAGAGGCGAUGAAGGACGUGCUAAUCUGCGAUAAGCGUCGGUGAGGUGAUAUGAACCGUUAUAACCGGCGAUUUCCGAAUGGGGAAACCCAGUGUGUUUCGACACACUAUCAUUAACUGAAUCCAUAGGUUAAUGAGGCGAACCGGGGGAACUGAAACAUCUAAGUACCCCGAGGAAAAGAAAUCAACCGAGAUUCCCCCAGUAGCGGCGAGCGAACGGGGAGGAGCCCAGAGCCUGAAUCAGUGUGUGUGUUAGUGGAAGCGUCUGGAAAGGCGCGCGAUACAGGGUGACAGCCCCGUACACAAAAAUGCACAUAUUGUGAGCUCGAUGAGUAGGGCGGGACACGUGGUAUCCUGUCUGAAUAUGGGGGGACCAUCCUCCAAGGCUAAAUACUCCUGACUGACCGAUAGUGAACCAGUACCGUGAGGGAAAGGCGAAAAGAACCCCGGCGAGGGGAGUGAAAAAGAACCUGAAACCGUGUACGUACAAGCAGUGGGAGCCUCUUAAUGGGGUGACUGCGUACCUUUUGUAUAAUGGGUCAGCGACUUAUAUUCUGUAGCAAGGUUAACCGAAUAGGGGAGCCGAAGGGAAACCGAGUCUUAACUGGGCGUUAAGUUGCAGGGUAUAGACCCGAAACCCGGUGAUCUAGCCAUGGGCAGGUUGAAGGUUGGGUAACACUAACUGGAGGACCGAACCGACUAAUGUUGAAAAAUUAGCGGAUGACUUGUGGCUGGGGGUGAAAGGCCAAUCAAACCGGGAGAUAGCUGGUUCUCCCCGAAAGCUAUUUAGGUAGCGCCUCGUGAAUUCAUCUCCGGGGGUAGAGCACUGUUUCGGCAAGGGGGUCAUCCCGACUUACCAACCCGAUGCAAACUGCGAAUACCGGAGAAUGUUAUCACGGGAGACACACGGCGGGUGCUAACGUCCGUCGUGA